CUCAAAAACUUAGUCUCAGUUCGGAUUGUAGGCUGAAACUACGCCUACAUGAAGCUGGAGUUGCUAGUAAUCGCGAAUCAGCAUGUCGCGGUGAAUACGUUCCCGGGCCUUGUACACACCGCCCGUCACACCAUGAGAGUUGGCAAUACCCAACGUACGUGAUCUAACCCGCAAGGGAGGAAGCGUCCUAAGGUAGGGUCAGCGAUUGGGGUGAAGUCGUAACAAGGUAGC
RNAcentral lists this ribosomal RNA (231 nucleotides) under uncultured bacterium. RNAcentral's name for it is "partial 16S ribosomal RNA". It matches the Rfam family "Bacterial small subunit ribosomal RNA", at positions 1273 to 1500 of the family's 1533-position model. The record is from RNAcentral.